This 397-nucleotide ribosomal RNA is filed under the name uncultured bacterium. Its description in RNAcentral is "partial 16S ribosomal RNA". It matches the Rfam family "Bacterial small subunit ribosomal RNA", at positions 523 to 918 of the family's 1533-position model. The record is from RNAcentral.
AUACGUAGAGGGCGAGCGUUGUCCGGAAUGAUUGGGCGUAAAGGGCGCGUAGGCGGCGCGGUAAGUCUGGAGUGAAAGUCCUGCUUUCAAGGUGGGAAUUGCUUUGGAUACUGCCGCGCUUGAGUGCAGGAGAGGUUAUCGGAAUUCCCGGUGUAGCGGUGAAAUGCGUAGAGAUCGGGAGGAACACCAGUGGCGAAGGCGGGUAACUGGACUGCAACUGACGCUGAGGCGCGAAAGUGUGGGGAGCAAACAGGAUUAGAUACCCUGGUAGUCCACACUGUAAACGAUGAAUACUAGGUGUAGGGGGUAUCGACUCCCUCUGUGCCGCAGUUAACACAAUAAGUAUUCCGCCUGGGGAGUACGGCCGCAAGGUUGAAACUCAAAUGAAUUGACGGGG